This 467-nucleotide ribosomal RNA is filed under the name uncultured bacterium. RNAcentral's name for it is "partial 16S ribosomal RNA". It matches the Rfam family "Bacterial small subunit ribosomal RNA", at positions 28 to 507 of the family's 1533-position model. The record is from RNAcentral.
GACGAACGCUGGCGGCGUGCUUAACACAUGCAAGUCGAACGGAAAGGCUCCAGCUUGCUGGAGUGCUCGAGUGGCGAACGGGUGAGUAACACGUGGGCAAUCUGCCCUGCACUCUGGGAUAAGCCUGGGAAACUGGGUCUAAUACCGGAUAGGACCUUUCUCCUCAUGGGGUUUGGUGGAAAGUUUUUCGGUGCAGGAUGAGCCCGCGGCCUAUCAGCUUGUUGGUGGGGUAAUGGCCUACCAAGGCGACGACAGGUAGCCGGCCUGAGAGGGUGAUCGGCCACAUUGGGACUGAGAUACGGCCCAGACUCCUACGGGAGGCAGCAGUGGGGAAUAUUGCACAAUGGGCGAAAGCCUGAUGCAGCGACGCCGCGUGAGGGAUGACGGCCUUCGGGUUGUAAACCUCUUUCAGUAGGGACGAAGCGCAAGUGACGGUACCUGCAGAAGAAGCACCGGCUAACUACGUG